Heterocephalus glaber (naked mole-rat) is the source of this 771-nucleotide long non-coding RNA. Lineage: Eukaryota; Metazoa; Chordata; Mammalia; Rodentia; Bathyergidae. The record is from Ensembl.
GCGGAGGAGGGGCGCCAGGGCGGCGCGGGCCCGGGGCCACCUGCUGGCCGAGCCGCUGCUCCCCGGGGCGCCGCUUCCGCCUGGCCGAGCGCGGCGCCCCGAGGAGGCGGGAGGCCGCGGCGCAGCGCCCUGGGCCGGGCCCGCCGCGGGGCCUGGGCUCGCGGACCCUUGGUCGCCGCCCGCCCCGGAGCUGGAGCCGCCGCGGCCGCGGCUGCGGGCCGGGAACUUACCCUUUGCCGUCUGCGAGGCCGGCGGAGGUGGAGCGCGGGCUCGGUUCCGGCGGACUCGGUCCGAGGGGAGUUGGGGUGCGGGGGCUGUGCCCCAGGUCGAACGCCGGUGCUCGACGGACGCGGGGCGGGGGCGGGUUUGUGUCCCGCGCCUCCUGGGGGCAGCGCCGACCGCGGGCGCCCCGGAGCGGAACGGAAAGGAAUUCGGCCCGGGGAGAGCGUGCUGAACGCGGCGACACGCCGGACCGAAAGCCCCGGCGGGCGUGCGGAGGGCACGGACGGCCCGGCCCUACGGCCCCCGGCUCGGGGAGACCGGCCACUCCGCGUGGCCCUCACCCCGGAAGCAAAACUGGACCAGGCACAGGCAGAUGGAAGCCUUCUGUACCCACCACGGUGAUUGCUGUCAGUAUGAAGCUGCUGUACUCCUGGCUGGCCCAGGCCGCCUGCCGUCCUCCACGUGGGGCCAGUGUCUUGGGCUUCAUCUGCAAAUCCUUCACAGUUGAAUCUGUACCCAGGAGCACUUUGGUGAGAUCUGUAUCUUACG